This is a long non-coding RNA of Harmonia axyridis, 753 nucleotides long. RefSeq lists it as uncharacterized. Lineage: Eukaryota; Metazoa; Arthropoda; Insecta; Coleoptera; Coccinellidae. The record is from RefSeq and is a predicted model, not a curated record. The transcript is spliced from 2 exons.
UUCAAAUCGUUUUGUAAAAAAGUCAAGAUUUAUUGAAAUCAUAAAUUUCACUCAAUAUCCGAGAUUCACUCUGUAUAUAACUCCAGGUUUUGAGAUUCAAAGAAAUUUUCUGAUAUCGAUAUUUAAUAUUUUGUUCCACUUUUUUUUUAAUAAAUUGAAACUUUCGUUCAAUGAAAUCAUUCAAUAUUCCAUAUUAAUAAACAACCUUCAUAUCCAAGUAAUGAUUUAUUUAGAUAUUACUGCGCUAAUUGCGGUAUCGACCGAAAAGUGCGAUUUGAAUUUUCAUUUAAAAAUCGUUGAACUAAUCUGAAGUCAUAAAUUCGGCAUUUUUUAUUUGUUUAUCAUUCGGAAAAGGGUAAGUACCGUAUAGUAUUCAUCCAUUUUAUUGACACGUAUUAUAAAUAUCUCAGCAAAUCUUGAACAUGCAACAGUGUUCAUCAAAGUUAUAUCCAUCUGAAAUACUCAUAAUAUUUUGAUCGAUAUGAAGAUUACCAUCCUUGCUAUUUUCUUCGUGAUGUUUCUUUUUGAAGCAUUCUCCUCUCCUACCGAACCGAAAGAUGAAAUUCUUCAUAGACUUCGCAGAUCCUUCUGUGGCGACACUGCAUGUGCUUUAAGCUGCACUCGCUAUGACUUCAAGGGAGGAUAUUGUAACGACUAUGGAGUUUGUGUCUGUACAAGAUGAAGAUAGAUUUGCUAUAAAAACAUAAAAUGUAAUAAUGUAUUCAUGAUAUACCCGUUUACUCUUGUUAAAUU